Molecule: ribosomal RNA, 468 nt
Filed under: uncultured bacterium
Lineage: Bacteria
Description: partial 16S ribosomal RNA
Rfam family: Bacterial small subunit ribosomal RNA
Source: RNAcentral
GACGAACGCUGGCGGCGUGCUUAACACAUGCAAGUCGAACGGAAAGUCCCUGCUUUUGUGGGGUGCUCGAGUGGCGAACGGGUGAGUAACACGUGAGUAACCUGCCCUUGACGUUGGGAUAACUUCAUGAAACUGGGGCUAAUACCGGAUAGGAGCUCCUGCUGCAUGGUGGGGGUUGGAAAGUUUCGGCGGUUGGGGAUGGGCUCGCGGCUUAUCAGCUUGUUGGUGGGGUAGUGGCUUACCAAGGCUUUGACGGGUAGCCGGCCUGAGAGGGUGACCGGCCACAUUGGGACUGAGAUACGGCCCAGACUCCUACGGGAGGCAGCAGUGGGGAAUAUUGCACAAUGGGCGGAAGCCUGAUGCAGCAACGCCGCGUGCGGGAUGACGGCCUUCGGGUUGUAAACCGCUUUCGCCUGUGACGAAGCGUGAGUGACGGUAAUGGGUAAAGAAGCACCGGCUAACUACGUG